CGUGUAGGCGGAUGGGAACGUCGGAUACUGAAAGCCCCCGGCUCAACCGGGGAAGUGGUUCCGAAACGACCUGUCUGGAGGGACGUAGGGGGAUCUGGAACUUCCGGUGGAGCGGUGAAAUGCGUUGAGAUCGGAAGGAACGCCCGUAGCGAAAGCGAGGUCCUGGACGUCUGCUGACGCUGAGACGCGAAAGCUAGGGGAGCAAACGGGAUUAGAUACCCCGGUAGUCCUAGCCGUAAACGAUGGGCACUGGGUAGGGGGCUCGCCGAUGGGCUCUCUGCCGUAGCGAAAGCGUGAAGUGCCCCGCCUGGGGAGUAUGGUCGCAAGGCUGAA
Molecule: ribosomal RNA, 333 nt
Filed under: uncultured bacterium
Lineage: Bacteria
Description: bacterial SSU rRNA
Rfam family: Bacterial small subunit ribosomal RNA
Source: RNAcentral